RNAcentral lists this long non-coding RNA (3063 nucleotides) under Capsella rubella. RNAcentral describes it as "long non-coding RNA (CRUB_LNC003202)". The record is from RNAcentral. Lineage: Eukaryota; Viridiplantae; Streptophyta; Magnoliopsida; Brassicales; Brassicaceae.
CAAUAUGUUUGAACCCUGAGUAAAUCCCAGAAGCUUCAUUCUUUCUUCAGUUUUGAACUUGAGGGUUUCCAUCUCAUGUGGUGAUAUAGGAAUAACAUAAGGUCCAUAGCAAAAGCCCUUUAUCCUUUCUUCUGGAGUAAGAACCUCACUAGACUUGGCGAACUUGUCUGUUGGUGACGCCUUGUGGAUAUGCAUUUUUAAAAUGGGAAGUCUCUCAUCAGCCACUGUCUUAUAAAAAGACACCUGCAAAAUUCAAAUUCAAAAAUACCGUCCUCAGGAACUAUCUCGAAUAGUUAUAUAAUCGUCGGAUGGACCAAAGAACACCAAAUAUGAAAUAACACAAUGAUCUCCAGAAACAUUGCACCACAAUCAAUAGAUACCUUAAUUGUUGGGUUAAUCUCAAGAUCACCCCUGGACAAAGUAACUGGAGCAAAUCUCCGGAUCUUGAAGGAAUCUAGAAGUGAGAGUUGAUUCUCAACACACACUGUUUGCGAAACCGAGUUGCUGGAGGAUAAGUUCAACAACUGAUCGUCCUCCGCCAUUAUCUUCUCACUAACAUCAACAUCAGUUGCAACAGGCUUCUUCUCCGCAUCCAUAGCCAGUGGGAGCUCUCCAAAUUCCCAUCCAGGAUCCAAGACAUCCUCAGUCGUAGCACUACGAGUCCAAGGGAGAUCUGUAUUUCCUGUCCAGAAUCAGAAAUUCAUAAUCAGAAAUCAACCUAAAAGUUGACAAAAAAAUAAAUAUAAAAGAAAUUCAACCUAAAUAAUCGGACAAGUUUAAGUAGAAAAUUUCCUUACUGUAAUCACCUGAAACUAAUUACCAUAAUCAGGAAACUCAAAACCAAUGGUACUUUGCCUUUUAACCUUAAUAGCCCUUUAAUUACUCUAUAGUCCAUCUCACUAAUCUGCGAAAAUAUCCUACAGCACAAAAUAUUAAAGACUUGCCGUAUCUAGAGAUGGCCAGAGCUUCCAUUUCCUUCAUGACAAGGUGAGGGUUCUGACAUUCCUGAAUAAACGUCACAGGAAAGUCAUAACACAAAACAAUUUAUAGUACCAACGUACUAUUAACAGGGGAACAAAACUAACAUGGAUACAGCUAAACGUGAACUGAAAUACCAUAGCAUUUAAAUAACGACACCUUUUCUGUAUUAAGAUUUUGAAACAUUUGAUGAAUUGCAAAAGGAUGUUCACCUUUGAUAACAAUGAUCUACACUUUUCUAGCUUCCACGAGGCAGGAAAUAUGCUGGAAGAAGGAAACAGAAACUCACAGACACCCUCAGCAGAAGGUAGCAUGUUGAAGUUGAAAGAAUCAGGCUGCAAAGGAAAAGAGUUAAAUGAACAUCAAGGAAACAGGGGAACAAAACUAACAUGGAUACAGCUAAACGUGAACAGAAAUACCAGAGCAUUUACUUAAUGACACCUUUCCGUAUUAAGAUUUUGAAACAUUUGAUGAAUUGCAAAAGGAUCGUCACCUUUGAUAAAAAUGAUCCACACUUUUCUGGAGCACGGUACCAUCGAAGAGCUACAUAGUCCUGUGGUCAAAAUGCAAUAGGAGAAAAAUUGGUUUCAUGCCAAAUUGAAGAAGUAAUUUUUUAAAGGAAGGCACUGGAUUACUACUCACAGUGCAGAAUAAUGAAAUUAAUGUAUCAAUGAAUGCGAAUCCUGGGAGUUGAAAAUAGAAAGUCUUGAGUUGGCAAUCAGCAUUUCCCAAUAUGUUUUUGGGUUUCAGAUCCCGAUGAUAGACAUUAGCUGAGAGUAAAACAAAAUUGACAGUUAAGAAAAAAAGAGUAUCUUCAGAAAGAUCAUCUAAAACUUAUAGAACUAUGCUAGCUUAACCUGUGUGUAAAGAUUUGAGGCCACUGAGAAGCUGAUAGAGAAAAGACUUGUAACGUUCAAGAACCAAAUCAUCAUUUGCCUUGAUAACCUCAUGCAGAUAAGCUUCCCUCAGCUUCUCCGCAUCAAUUAUGAUCACCCGCCUCUCAAACUCGAAUUGCAACUUUGUGACAGCUUGAUCAGAGGGCUCUCUUUGAACCUUCAAUAAACCCUUGAAGUACACAUCUGCUAGCGCCUGAAGUAACACAUGAAACCAUAAUUUUAAUUAUAAUAAUAACAAACUUAAAGUGGAAUGCUACAUCCUGUCUGACAAAUACUAUGGCAAAAUCAUUUGUUCACUUUACUGUAAUCUUGAUAGAUAUAAGGCGCCAUCAAAACGCGCCAAAUACAAAUAUUAAUAGUCAAAAGCAGGGGAACAAAAAAAGGUUUUACCUGCAAAACCGGGUUAGGAGUAAGUUCAGGCUUUAGUAAUUCCUCUUUCUCAAAAGGUGCGAUGUCAAGCAUCUUAACCAAAUUAUAUGCCAAUGCUUGCUGUUGCUCAUCUGGCUUCCACGAGGCAGGAAAUAUGCUGGAAGAAGGAAACAGAAACUCACAGACACCCUCAGCGGAAGGUAGCAUGUUGAAGUUGAAAGAAUCAGGCUGCAAAGGAAAAGAGUUAAAUGAACAUCAAGGUAGUCAGAAGAUUCAAGAUGAAGGUGUUUCCAUGAGUUAACUUACGGUGUCAUCUAAAUUAGACACAAUGGGAGUGAGGACCUCAACAACUACAUUCCCUAGUCCAUCUCUCCAGACACAACGUACCAUUGCCACCUUGUUUGCUUGCUUCAUUUCUCUUACAAUGGCAGAGACGGCAAUAACAGAGUUUUGUUUUCCCGGAUCAGGAACAACUAUGUUCAGGUCAUCUUUCAUGUGGCGGUGUCUUAGUUGACAUGCAGAGAAAAACACAACACAACACAACAGUCUGUCAACUGAGACAACCAAGAGUUUACAGACAACCAUAAAUAUAGGUGAUUGUUUAUGCUUACCGCAAUAUGUUUGAACCCUGAGUAAAUCCCAGAAGCUUCAUUCUUUCUUCAGUUUUGAACUUGAGGGUUUCCAUCUCAUGUGGUGAUAUAGGAAUAACAUAAGGUCCAUAGCAAAAGCCCUUUAUCCUUUCUUCUGGAGUAAGAACCUCACUAGACUUGGCGAACUUGUCUGUUGGUGACGCCUUGUGGAUAUGCAUUUUUAAAAUGGG